Molecule: transfer-messenger RNA, 349 nt
Filed under: Gammaproteobacteria bacterium
Lineage: Bacteria; Pseudomonadati; Pseudomonadota; Gammaproteobacteria
Also listed under: 1 other name
Rfam family: transfer-messenger RNA
About the family: Bacterial tmRNA, also known as 10Sa RNA or SsrA, is named for its dual tRNA and mRNA-like properties. Its role is to liberate the mRNA from a stalled ribosome.
Source: RNAcentral
GGGGGCGACUUGGCUUCGACGUGGGUUACGAACCUCUAGGUGCAUGUCGAGAUGUUAGCGAAUCUCGUAAAAUCAAAGCUAAAAACUAUAGUUGCAAACGAAGACAACUACGCUUUAGCCGCUUAAUCGGCUAACUGUCGACUCUGAGCGUCCUUGGUAGGAACUCGACAGUCAUUACAGGGACUUGCAGGUAACUGUGCUCGGCAGCCAACUGUGAAAAUAUCCUCGAGACCGUCUGACUAAGCCUGCCCAUCGGCUCGAGUUAGAUUAAAUUAACGAUGGAACUAAGCAUGUAGAGCCUUGAGCAGAGGAUUUGCGGACGCGGGUUCAAUUCCCGCCGCCUCCACCA